GACGAACGCUGGCGGCGUGCCUAAUACAUGCAAGUCGAACGAGAGCGACCGGUGCUUGCACUGGUCAAUCUAGUGGCGAACGGGUGAGUAACACGUGGGUAACCUGCUCAUCAGAGGGGGAUAACAUCCGGAAACGGAUGCUAAAACCGCAUAGGUCUUCGAGCCGCAUGGCUUGAAGAGGAAAAGAGGCGCAAGCUUCUGCUGAUGGAUGGACCCGCGGUGCAUUAGCUAGUUGGUGAGGUAACGGCUCACCAAGGCCGUGAUGCAUAGCCGACCUGAGAGGGUGAUCGGCCACAUUGGGACUGAGACACGGCCCAAACUCCUACGGGAGGCAGCAGUAGGGAAUCUUCCGCAAUGGACGCAAGUCUGACGGAGCAACGCCGCGUGAGUGAAGAAGGUUUUCGGAUCGUAAAACUCUGUUGUUAGAGAAGAACAAGUGCUAGAGUAACUGUUAGCGCCUUGACGGUAUCUAACCAGAAAGCCACGGCUAACUACGU
This 497-nucleotide ribosomal RNA is filed under the name uncultured bacterium. RNAcentral describes it as "partial 16S ribosomal RNA". It matches the Rfam family "Bacterial small subunit ribosomal RNA", at positions 28 to 506 of the family's 1533-position model. The record is from RNAcentral.